Molecule: ribosomal RNA, 253 nt
Filed under: uncultured bacterium
Lineage: Bacteria
Also listed under: 1 other name
Description: partial 16S ribosomal RNA
Rfam family: Bacterial small subunit ribosomal RNA
Source: RNAcentral
UACAGAGGUGGCAAGCGUUGUUCGGAAUUACUGGGCGUAAAGGGCGCGUAGGCGGCCUCUUUAGUCAGACGUGAAAUCCCCCGGCUUAACCUGGGAACUGCGUCUGAUACUGGGAGGCUUGAGUUCGGGAGAGGGAUGUAGAAUUCCAGGUGUAGCGGUGAAAUGCGUAGAUAUCUGGAGGAAUACCGGUGGCGAAGGCGGCAUCCUGGACCGAAACUGACGCUGAGGCGCGAAAGCUAGGGGAGCAAACGGG